AAGAUAAUAGGGGUAGAAAGUUUAUUCAAAGGGAUAAUAACAGAGGACUUCCCAAACCUAGACAAAGAUAUCAAUAUGCAAGUACAGGAAGGUAAUAGAACACCAAGCAGAUUUAACCCAAAGAAGAUAAUAAUCAAACUCCCAAAGGCCAAGGGUAGAGAAAGGACCCUAAAACAGCAAGAGGAAAGAAAUGACUAACAUACAAUGGAGCCCCAAUACAUCUGGCAGCAGAUUUUCACUGGAAACCUUACAGGCCAGGAGACAGUGGCAUAACAAUUUAAAGUGCUAAAGAAAAAAGCUUUUACCCUAUAAUACUAUAAUAGUAUAUGUGGUGAAAAUAUCGUUCAAGCAUAAAGGAGAAAGAAAGACAUUCCUGGACAAACAAAAAUUGAGGGAGUUCAUCAAUACCAGACCUGCUGUACAAGAAAUGCUAAAGGGAGUACUUUAGUAAGAAAGAAAAGGACAUGAAUGAGCAAUACAUAGUACCUGAAGGUACAAACCUUACUGGUAAUAGCAAGUACACAGAAAAACACAGAAUAUUAUAACAUUGUAACUGUGGUGUGUAAACUACUCUUAUGCUAAGUAGAAAGAGUAAAUGAUGAAUGAAUCACAAAAAGUAACUAAAACAACUUUUCAAGACAUAGUCAGUACAAUAAGCUAUAAACAGGAACAAUAAAAAGUUAAAAAGUUGGGGAACAAAGUUAAAGUGUAGAGUUUUUAUUAAUUUUCUUUGUGCUUGUUUGUUUGCUUAUGCAAAUAGUGUUAAGUUGUUAUCAGGUUAAAAUAAUGGGUUAUAAGAUAGUAUUUGCAAGCCUCAUGGUAACCUCAAGCCAAAGAACACAAUGGAUGCACAAAAAAUAAAAAGCAAGAAACUAAGUCAUAUCUCCAGAGCAGAGUAUCUUCACUAGAAAAAGACAAGAAGGAAAGAAAGAAGGGAAAGAAGUUCAUGAAACAACCAGAAAACAAAUAACAAAAUGACAGAAGUCCUUACCCAUCAAUAACAACACACAAUGUAAAUAUCCUAAACUGACCAAUCAAAAGACAUAGACUGGCUGAAUGGAUGAAAAAUCAAGAUCCAUUGAUCUGUUGCCUACAGAAGAAACACUUCACCUAUGAAGACAAACAUAGACUGAAAAUAAAGGGAUGGAAAAAGAUAUUUCUUGCCAAUGGAAACCAAAAAGAGCAGGAGUUUUAUCUCAGAUAAAAUAGAUUUCAAAGAAGGUCACUAUAUAAUGGUAAAGGGCUCAAUUCAGCAAGAGGAUAGAAGAAUAAUUUUAAAUAUGUAAUAUAUGCACCCAACACAGAAGCACCCAGAUAUAUAAAGGGAAUAUUAUUAGAGCUAAAGAGAGAGAUAGGUCCCAAUACAAUAAUAGUUGGAGACUCCAAUACUCCACUUUCAGCAUUGGACAGAACUUCCAGACAGAAGAAUCAACAGGGAAACAUCAGAAUUAAUCUGCACUGUAGGCCAAAUGAAUCCAAUAGAUAUUUACAGAACAUCUCUUCCAAUGGCUGCAGAACACACAUUCUUUUCCUCAGCACAUGGAUCAUUCUCAAAGAUAGACCCCAUGUUAGAUCACAAAACAAGUCUUAAAUCACUGAAAAAAUUGAAAUAAUAUCAAGCAUCUUCUCUGAUCAUAAUAGAAUGAAACUGGAAAUAAGAAGAAGAAUUUUGGAAACUACACAAAUAUGUAGAAAUUUUAAAAUAUGCUCCUGAGAGACCAGUGGGUCAAUGAAGAAAUUAAGAAGAAAAUGGAAAAAUGUCUAAAAACAAAUGAUAAUGGAAACCCCAUAUAUGAAAACCUAUGUGAUAUAACAAAAGCAGAACUAAGAGGGAAAUUUAUAGCUAUGAGUGCCUACAUCAAAAAAAAAAAAAAAAAAAAGAAAAAAA
Long non-coding RNA from Macaca fascicularis (crab-eating macaque), 1888 nucleotides. Lineage: Eukaryota; Metazoa; Chordata; Mammalia; Primates; Cercopithecidae. The record is from Ensembl.